ACGAACGCUGGCGGCGUGCUUAACACAUGCAAGUCGCACGGAAAGGCCCUGCUUUUGUGGGGUGCUCGAGUGGCGAACGGGUGAGUAACACGUGAGUAACCUGCCCUUGACUUUGGGAUAACUUCAGGAAACUGGGGCUAAUACCGGAUAGGAGCUCCUGCUGCAUGGUGGGGGUUGGAAAGUUUCGGCGGUUGGGGAUGGACUCGCGGCUUAUCAGCUUGUUGGUGGGGUAGUGGCUUACCAAGGCUUUGACGGGUAGCCGGCCUGAGAGGGUGACCGGCCACAUUGGGACUGAGAUACGGCCCAGACUCCUACGGGAGGCAGCAGUGGGGAAUAUUGCACAAUGGGCGGAAGCCUGAUGCGGCAACGCCGCGUGCGGGAUGACGGCCUUCGGGUUGUAAACCGCUUUCGCCUGUGACGAAGCGUGAGUGACGGUAAUGGGUAAAGAAGCACCGGCUAACUACGUG
This 467-nucleotide ribosomal RNA is filed under the name uncultured bacterium. RNAcentral's name for it is "partial 16S ribosomal RNA". It matches the Rfam family "Bacterial small subunit ribosomal RNA", at positions 29 to 507 of the family's 1533-position model. The record is from RNAcentral.